GUUCACACAGGUGUGACUCUCACACGGCCCUGCUACACCAUUAGCAAGCUGUUGCUACUUACGUGUUAGCAAAAACUUGCCUACUAACACACAAGCAGCGCCUCUCUCCACCACGGAACAUAGCAAGUCGAGCGUUGACAUCUGAAACACGUAUGCCUCUCUGUGUCAGCCACGGUGCCUCUUCCCCCGGCAGUUCAGUGUAAGGUGAGCCAGUCUAUACUGUCAUCUGUACGGUCAACGGAGCCUGACGAAAGGGGAGGAGGCGGCAGAGAGAGACGGAGGGAUGUCUGCUGUGUGCAUACGAGGGAGAAGUUGAUCAGACCGGAGUUGUGGAAGUCCUUGAGCAAAGUCACGUUGUGGAGGAGGACAAAGGAGGUGGGCACGGCUGCUCCGACACCCUGAAGGAAGCCUUGACCAAGAGGCUUCCAUAUACCCAGACCUUUCCGGAGUACAUCAGUGGGAUGAGCUUUGAAUUGUUAAAUAUUUAACAUCAGCUUGCAGCGCUACCCAUAUCGAUUAAUGCCCAGGCAGUCAUUAAAACUGCCCUUCCAGUGUGGGCCUCGCUUAAUCCAAACACGGCAUAGUGAUGGGCAGACGCAAAGUAUUUGUGUGAAAAAUGUGGUUUUAAAUUAAAGUUUUGUGUAAUUUA
Long non-coding RNA from Acanthopagrus latus (yellowfin seabream), 649 nucleotides. RefSeq lists it as uncharacterized. The transcript has 3 exons. NCBI's taxonomy places the organism in Eukaryota, Metazoa, Chordata, Actinopteri, Spariformes, Sparidae. The record is from RefSeq and is a predicted model, not a curated record.